Ribosomal RNA from Volvox carteri f. nagariensis, 152 nucleotides. It matches the Rfam family "5.8S ribosomal RNA". From Rfam's summary of the family: 5.8S ribosomal RNA (5.8S rRNA) is a component of the large subunit of the eukaryotic ribosome. It is transcribed by RNA polymerase I as part of the 45S precursor that also contains 18S and 28S rRNA. NCBI's taxonomy places the organism in Eukaryota, Viridiplantae, Chlorophyta, Chlorophyceae, Chlamydomonadales, Volvocaceae. The record is from Rfam.
GAAUUUUGGCUCUCUAUAGACUAGCUAGCCAAUGAGGAGCGCAGCAAAAUGCGUUGCUUAUUGUAAACUGCAAAAACACGCGUGGAGUAUCGAACAUUUCAGCGCAAAAUGCGCUGGAGGCUUUGGCCAAGAGUAUGUCUGCCUCAGUGUCA